Molecule: ribosomal RNA, 482 nt
Filed under: uncultured bacterium
Lineage: Bacteria
Description: partial 16S ribosomal RNA
Rfam family: Bacterial small subunit ribosomal RNA
Source: RNAcentral
AUUGAACGCUGGCGGCAUGCUUUACACAUGCAAGUCGAACGGUAACAGGCCGCAAGGUUCUGACGAGUGGCGAACGGGUGAGUAAUGCAUCGGAACGUGCCCAGACGUGGGGGAUAACUACUCGAAAGAUUAGCUAAUACCGCAUACGAUCUAUGGAUGAAAGCGGGGGACCGUAAGGCCUCGCGCGAUUGGACCGGCCGAUGUCAGAUUAGGUAGUUGGUGGGGUAAAGGCUCACCAAGCCAACGAUCUGUAGCUGGUCUGAGAGGACGACCAGCCACACUGGGACUGAGACACGGCCCAGACUCCUACGGGAGGCAGCAGUGGGGAAUUUUGGACAAUGGGCGCAAGCCUGAUCCAGCAAUGCCGCGUGCAGGAAGAAGGCCUUCGGGUUGUAAACUGCUUUUGUACGGAACGAAACGGCUCUGGUUAAUACCCGGGGCUAAUGACGGUACCGUAAGAAUAAGCACCGGCUAACUACGUG